GUGGGGAAUUUUGCGCAAUGGGGGAAACCCUGACGCAGCAACGCCGCGUGAGUGAUGAAGGCCUUCGGGUCGUAAAGCUCUGUCAGAGGGGAAGAAAUGCAGGGGUGCUAAUAUCAUCUUUGCUUGACGGUACCCUCAAAGGAAGCACCGGCUAACUCCGUGCCAGCAGCCGCGGUAAUACGGAGGGUGCGAGCGUUGUUCGGAAUUAUUUGGCGUAAAGCGCGUGUAGGCGGUGUGGUAAGUCUGAUGUGAAAGCCCCGGGCUCAACCUGGGAAGUGCAUUGGAAACUGUCAGACUUGAAUACGGGAGAGGGUAGUGGAAUUCCUAGUGUAGGAGUGAAAUCCGUAGAUAUUAGGAGGAACACCGGUGGCGAAGGAGGCUACCUGGACCGAUAUUGACGCUGAGACGCGAAAGCGUGGGGAGCAAACAGGAUUAGAAACCCGAGUAGUCC
Molecule: ribosomal RNA, 451 nt
Filed under: uncultured bacterium
Lineage: Bacteria
Description: partial 16S ribosomal RNA
Rfam family: Bacterial small subunit ribosomal RNA
Source: RNAcentral